CCUUAGAUUACUGAGUAUGGGAGUUGGACGCCCAUACAUGAUUUCAAAGGGAGACAGACCCAUUCUUCUGGUAGGAGUACUACGUAUCCGCAACAGAGCUAUUGGCAAAAGGGCAUUCCACUUGAGCUGAGUUUCCUGACACAUUUUAGCCAAUUGGGUUUUUAUUGUUCUGUUCAUCCUAUCCACCUUUCCAGAACUCUGAGGUCUAUAUGCU
Pelobates cultripes (western spadefoot toad) is the source of this 214-nucleotide non-coding RNA. The record is from the annotation of a GenBank genome assembly. Lineage: Eukaryota; Metazoa; Chordata; Amphibia; Anura; Pelobatidae.